CGGGUAGGAGUCACGAUCUCGUACUCGCUCAGCUUCUCCAGCAGCUUGGCUGCGAGGGAACAGAAGCACAUGCCCCUGAGCGGGGAGGCCGAGGCCCCCCCAUCACUCACCCCCUGGGGGGUUAGCCCCGCACCCUCCUCCUACUCUCCCCUCAACCCCUACACCCCUCCCUGAGCAUCCCCUUACCUUGCCUGGGGUGCAGCUUCUGCCUCCUUGCUCCUGUCCUCAAGCCGUCGAUGAAGAGCGUGGCAGCUCGAAGAAGCGGACCAACAAUCGAAGAAUCCCCUGUGUGACACUUGCAGCGGUUGUUGCCUUUAGUUCUCAGAUACGAGGCACUUAAAGCAACUUUUGUUCAGGGUUAUUUUUAUGUUGUGCAGUUUUCAGGCACCCUGAGUGAAAAAAAAAAAAAAAAAAAAAAAAAAAAAAAAAAGAGAAAAAUAUUAUUUCCUUAUCUGAGUUUAUAUUGGUUUGCUUUGUGUUACAAUUUGGAAGUUUUCUGUAAGAAAUUAAGACAUCCUUUAAAUGUAAUUAAGCAUUGUCUCCUAUGCAUCCUCAAAACAAAGCCCCAAAAUCUUGAUUUUAUUUUUCAAAUGUGGAAGAAUGCAAUGAAAUUUAAAGCCUGUGGACAAGACAAAAGAAAAUAGAUGGCUGGAAGUUUGAAUUUACACUUCCAUAGAAAAUUUCAAAGUUCUGCAGUUGCUGCAGAAAGAAAAAGCUUUAGGAAAAAAAAAAUCAGUUCAGAAUCUACUUCUGGGCAAAAUAGCAGCUCCUGGCUCCUCUAAAUGAACUGUUGAAGCACUACCUCAAGCAGUAGGAGUAAAUUAUUAAUUCUGUGCAAUGAAUAUAAAAG
This is a long non-coding RNA of Calypte anna (Anna's hummingbird), 850 nucleotides long. RefSeq lists it as uncharacterized. The transcript is spliced from 2 exons. The record is from RefSeq and is a predicted model, not a curated record. NCBI's taxonomy places the organism in Eukaryota, Metazoa, Chordata, Aves, Apodiformes, Trochilidae.